GUGCUCACUUUUACAUCACAUAUACAAAAACUGGAAUGAAUACAAAGAUUACCAUGAACUAUGCAAAAGGAUGACACUAAAAUUAAUGCUGCAUAACAUAUUUAG
This 105-nucleotide small nuclear RNA is filed under the name Meriones unguiculatus (Mongolian gerbil). Lineage: Eukaryota; Metazoa; Chordata; Mammalia; Rodentia; Muridae. The record is from RNAcentral.